UACCAGCACCCCGAGUGGUCGGGACGAUUAUUGGGCCUAAAGCAUCCGUAGCCGGUUUUACAAGUCCUCCGUUAAAUCCAGCUGCUUAACAGAUGGGCUGCGGAGGAUACUAUAAGACUAGGAGGCAGGAGAGGCAAGCGGUACUCAGUGGGUAGGGGUAAAAUCCGUUGAUCCAUUGAAGACCACCAGUGGCGAAGGCGGCUUGCCAGAAUGCGCUCGACGGUGAGGGAUGAAAGCUGGGGGAGCAAGCCGG
This 253-nucleotide ribosomal RNA is filed under the name uncultured bacterium. RNAcentral's name for it is "partial 16S ribosomal RNA". It matches the Rfam family "Archaeal small subunit ribosomal RNA", at positions 474 to 727 of the family's 1478-position model. The record is from RNAcentral.